CCUACGGGAGGCAGCAGUGAGGAAUAUUGGUCAAUGGACGAGAGUCUGAACCAGCCAAGUAGCGUGAAGGAUGACUGCCCUAUGGGUUGUAAACUUCUUUUAUAAAGGAAUAAAACGAGGCACGUGUGCCUUUUUGCAUGUACUUUAUGAAUAAGGAUCGGCUAACUCCGUGCCAGCAGCCGCGGUAAUACGGAUGAUCCGAGCGUUAUCCGGAUUUAGUGGGUUUAAAGGGAGCGUAGAUGGGUUGUUAAGUCAGUUGUGAAAGUUUGCGGCUCAACCGUAAAAUUGCAAUUGAUACUGGCAGUCUUGAGUACAGUUGAGGUAGGCGGAAUUCGUGGUGUAGCGGUGAAAUGCGUAGAUAUCACGAAGAACCCCGAUUGCGAAGGCAGCUUACUAAACUGUGACUGACAUUGAUGCUCGAAAGUGUGGGUAUCAAACAGGAUUAGAUACCCUAGUAGUC
RNAcentral lists this ribosomal RNA (460 nucleotides) under uncultured bacterium. Its description in RNAcentral is "partial 16S ribosomal RNA". It matches the Rfam family "Bacterial small subunit ribosomal RNA", at positions 338 to 795 of the family's 1533-position model. The record is from RNAcentral.